This 201-nucleotide long non-coding RNA is filed under the name Oryza brachyantha (malo sina). RNAcentral's name for it is "long non-coding RNA (OBRA_LNC002530)". Lineage: Eukaryota; Viridiplantae; Streptophyta; Magnoliopsida; Poales; Poaceae. The record is from RNAcentral.
GCUGCUGCUGCUGCGGCGGCGGCGGAGGAGGAGGAGGAGGAGGUGGGGGAGAGGGAAUCGCAUCCGCGAGGGGAAGGUGGCGAGGUGGAUGCGACGAGACGGCAAGGGAAGAGAGGGGAAAGCGAUGUGAGGAGAGAGAGAGAGACAGCAAGCACACACACUGAUGAGUGAUGCAGCUGCGCUACUUUUUUUUUAAUCUUU